Molecule: ribosomal RNA, 253 nt
Filed under: uncultured bacterium
Lineage: Bacteria
Description: partial 16S ribosomal RNA
Rfam family: Bacterial small subunit ribosomal RNA
Source: RNAcentral
UACGUAGGGGGCAAGCGUUGUCCGGAAUCAUUGGGCGUAAAGAGCGUGUAGGCGGCCAGAAAAGUCCGCUGUGAAAACUCGAGGCUCAACUUCGAGCUGUCGGUGGAAACUUUCUUGCUAGAGUCCGGAAGAGGAGAAUGGAAUUCCUGGUGUAGCGGUGAAAUGCGCAGAUAUCAGGAAGAACACCCGUGGCGAAGGCGGUUCUCUGGGACGGUACUGACGCUGAGACGCGAAAGCGUGGGGAGCGAACAGG